GAACGCUGGCGGCGUGCCUAAUACAUGCAAGUCGAACGCUUCUUUCCUCCCGAGUGCUUGCACUCAAUUGGAAAGAGGAGUGGCGGACGGGUGAGUAACACGUGGGUAACCUACCCAUCAGAGGGGGAUAACACUUGGAAACAGGUGCUAAUACCGCAUAACAGUUUAUGCCGCAUGGCAUAAGAGUGAAAGGCGCUUUCGGGUGUCGCUGAUGGAUGGACCCGCGGUGCAUUAGCUAGUUGGUGAGGUAACGGCUCACCAAGGCCACGAUGCAUAGCCGACCUGAGAGGGUGAUCGGCCACACUGGGACUGAGACACGGCCCAGACUCCUACGGGAGGCAGCAGUAGGGAAUCUUCGGCAAUGGACGAAAGUCUGACCGAGCAACGCCGCGUGAGUGAAGAAGGUUUUCGGAUCGUAAAACUCUGUUGUUAGAGAAGAACAAGGACGUUAGUAACUGAACGUCCCCUGACGGUAUCUAACCAGAAAGCCACGGCUAACUACGUGCCAGCAGCCGCGGUAAUACGUAGGUGGCAAGCGUUGUCCGGAUUUAUUGGGCGUAAAGCGAGCGCAGGCGGUUUCUUAAGUCUGAUGUGAAAGCCCCCGGCUCAACCGGGGAGGGUCAUUGGAAACUGGGAGACUUGAGUGCAGAAGAGGAGAGUGGAAUUCCAUGUGUAGCGGUGAAAUGCGUAUAUAUAUGGAGGAACACCAGUGGCGAAGGCG
This 721-nucleotide ribosomal RNA is filed under the name uncultured Enterococcus sp. RNAcentral's name for it is "bacterial SSU rRNA". It matches the Rfam family "Bacterial small subunit ribosomal RNA", at positions 31 to 723 of the family's 1533-position model. Lineage: Bacteria; Bacillati; Bacillota; Bacilli; Lactobacillales; Enterococcaceae. The record is from RNAcentral.